Molecule: unclassified non-coding RNA, 200 nt
Filed under: uncultured Basidiomycota
Lineage: Eukaryota; Fungi; Basidiomycota
Description: sequence contains ITS2
Source: RNAcentral
AACUCUCAACCCCCUCAUUUUGUAAUGAAAUGCAGCGCGGGCUUGGAUUAUGGCUGCCUGCCGGCGUAAUUGCCGACUCAGCUGAAAUAUACGAGCAACCCAGUUGAAAUAGACGGUUUGACUCGGCGUAAUAAUUAUUUCGCUGAGGACGUCUUCUUUAAAGUCAGUGGUGCUUCUAAUGCGUAUCAUACACUUUUAGC